RNA transcript from Daucus carota subsp. sativus, 2070 nucleotides. It is a transcript of the gene named protein LAZ1 homolog 1, with no coding region annotated. NCBI's taxonomy places the organism in Eukaryota, Viridiplantae, Streptophyta, Magnoliopsida, Apiales, Apiaceae. The transcript has 10 exons. The record is from RefSeq and is a predicted model, not a curated record.
CCACUAUAUUUUGCUAUGUUGUUGCCUGAGUUGCUAAUUUCACCUUAUACGCAAGAUAUGGAUCAGGCGGUGUUGCUGAUGGAAUGGCGAGGGUUUUUAUUGUCCUUGUGUUUGUUUGUUAGUCUGGUUGAGUCCUUAUGUGUUCCAGAGAGUCUCUGGUUGGUUAGUUCAAAUGGAGAGCAUACUUCAGUUUACAGCUGGACGAUAUGUAGUGCUAGCGUUUUUGUUCUCGUUGCACUUGUUCUAUCUAUGUACCUCGUCUUUCAGCAUUUAGCAGCUUACAAUCAGCCUGAGGAGCAGAAAUUUAUGAUCGGACUCAUUUUGAUGGUUCCUGUCUACGCACUAGAAUCGUUUCUGUCACUAUUGGAUUCAGAUGAUGCAUUCAACUGUGAGAUUAUCAGGGAUUGUUAUGAAGCCUUUGCAUUGUAUUGCUUUGAGAGAUAUUUAAUAGCCUGUUUAGGUGGUGAGGAUAGUACAAUAAAGUAUAUGGAAAGUCAAAGUAUAAUGAGCUCUAGCAUGCCUCUUUUGGAAGAAUCAUAUGCUUUUGGAAUUGUAGAACACCCCUUCCCUCUCAAUUGUUUGUUGAAGGACUGGCAUCUCGGUGCUGAGUUUUAUCAAGCUGUGAAAAUUGGCAUUGUUCAAUAUAUGAUUUUGAAACUGAUUUGUGCACUAGUAGCAAUAGUCUCUCAGUUUUUUGGUGUUUACGGUGAAGGGAAAUUUGAGUGGGGUUAUGCAUAUCCAUACCUGGCAGUUGUUUUGAAUUUCAGUCAGACCUGGGCAUUGUAUUGCCUGGUGCAAUUUUAUUCUGUUAUUAAGGAUAAGUUGGCGCCUAUCAAUCCUUUGGCCAAGUUUCUCACAUUCAAGUCCAUAGUAUUCCUGACAUGGUGGCAAGGCAUAGCUGUUGCAUUCCUUUUCUCCAUGGGAGCCUUUCAAGGAUCCUUGGCAAAGGAGUUGAAAACACGUAUACAAGAUUAUAUAAUCUGUAUAGAGAUGGGUAUUGCUGCUGUGGUGCACCUUUAUGUUUUUCCAGCAAUACCAUACAAGCGUGGAGAGAGAUGUGUACGAAAUGCUGCUGUAAUGUCUGAUUAUGCAUCUCUUGGAACAAAUCCAGAUCCCGAAGAAGUUAAAGACUGUGAAAGAUAUACCAGGGCACAAUUAAUUUCCUAUGCUGACAGGGAAAAGCGGUUGAAUUUCCGGCAGAGUGUUUGUGAUGUUGUCAUCGGCAGUGGUGAAAUUAUUGUUGAUGACAUGAAGUACACAGUUUCACACGUUGUAGAACCAGUUGAGAGAGGAUUUUUAAGGAUUAAUGAAAAAUUCCAUCAGAUAUCUGAUAAUGUCAAGCGAUUGGAGGAGGAAAAGAAGAAGGCUAAGGAUGAUAGUUAUGUAAUCCCGUUGAGUUCCUGGUCAAAAGAGUUCUCAGAUGUCCACGAGGACCUGGCAGAAGGGAGUUGCAGUGACAGCAGUUUGAGUAAUGUCAAGCGGAAGUAUAGUCAAUCUAAAGAAUCAGUAUCUCGAUUUAAAAAUGCAUAGAUCCCGCCAUUAUUCAGGGUGAGAUGCUUGUCUGGCAAUGCAAUGUAAUUUUCAUUAUUCAGGUUUGUCUGUGCAGCCUGCGGGGCAAAUUACUGGGGAGACGAGCAACUUCACUACAUUUACCUUGCAAUAUAAAUUGACUUUUUAAUCCUGAUGAAAUUUGGUGAAGCUGGAAGAGGACACAUCAUGGCGGUCAGGAAAAAAAUAAUAGGUGACUGUUCUUAUACUUGAUAGAUAAAAAGUACUUGAAGAAUGAAAAAGAUAUACUCAAGGAUUGGAGAUAACUCACAGGAAAGCGGAAAUGCAUAAACAGUGCUUGUUCAGUCACCUCUCCUACACCAACAGGAACAAAUGCCAUUUAUAUGUCAAUUGUAUUAAUUUUCAUGUGGAAAUAAAUUGCUAAAUCUUACAAAUGUAUAGGGUCGUACAGAUGCUUUCACUAGCAAUGGCCUUUAAAGUGGCCCAGAUGCCUAUGUUAGAGCAUUUCCUACCGCCUACUAGUGUAUAUAUGCCAUGCUCGUAAGAACCAUUUUUGGUGCC